Molecule: ribosomal RNA, 229 nt
Filed under: uncultured bacterium
Lineage: Bacteria
Description: partial 16S ribosomal RNA
Rfam family: Bacterial small subunit ribosomal RNA
Source: RNAcentral
CGCGUAGGCGGUCUCUUAAGUCAGAUGUGAAAGCCCGGGGCUUAACCCCGGAAGUGCAUUUGAAACUAAGGGACUUGAGUAUGGGAGAGGGAAGUGGAAUUCCUGGUGUAGAGGUGAAAUUCGUAGAUAUCAGGAGGAACACCGGUGGCGAAGGCGACAUCCUGGACCAAUACUGACGCUAAGGCGCGAAGGCGUGGGGAGCAAACAGGAUUAGAUACCCUGGUAGUCC